CCGUGCUUUACAGUUGAUAUGAAGUGAUUGUCCUUAAUGGUGUCAUUUGGGAAUAGUCUCUCUCUCUUGAACUUCAGACAAUUUGGAAAUGACCUUACAACCCCUCCCAGAAUCAUGGGCAGCAACGUUUGCUUCUGUAAGAAGCCUCCUCGUGGAACCUGAGAAACAACCUGCAGACCUUUGAAGAGUUAGAUAUCCAACCUGUGGAAGAAGUUUCUGGCUUGCCAACGUCCCCAGUCUGCUCUCACUUUGACCAUGUUGAGAUGUGAUGUUACACUGAAUAAACCUUCAUUUCAGGUGGAUCCCUCCAAUCGAACCCUGACACCUGCAGCUGAAGCUCCUGCUGCAUCCGGUCGACCAGAGAAACCUGGACGAUGCUGUGGAGAUGAAGAACUUUGUGUCUCACAGGUUGAAGCCGAAAAUGUAACAUUUCUCUAUUUAUUUUCUGUUUUCACACCAAAUGUUUGGGCCGCCCAGGUUCUGUACAGCUACUGUCACCGUUUAUCUCAGUGUGCAACACAAGUUAUUUCAGAAGUUCAGUUGUAUACAUUCAUUCCAGACAGAGAGAUGUAUUUCAAGCAUUUACUGUUAUUGCUGAUGACUGCGACUUAGCGGACCAGUGGGCCUACUGAACGGCAUGUCCAAGUACUCCACACUGUCUGUACUCAAUAAA
Girardinichthys multiradiatus is the source of this 673-nucleotide long non-coding RNA. RefSeq lists it as uncharacterized. The record is from RefSeq and is a predicted model, not a curated record. The transcript has 3 exons. Lineage: Eukaryota; Metazoa; Chordata; Actinopteri; Cyprinodontiformes; Goodeidae.